Molecule: long non-coding RNA, 2946 nt
Organism: Herpailurus yagouaroundi (jaguarundi)
Lineage: Eukaryota; Metazoa; Chordata; Mammalia; Carnivora; Felidae
Exons: 6
Source: RefSeq, a predicted model, not a curated record
GAAGGCUAGGAGGUAGCGUGUGCCAGGCUGGGUAACCGAAAAGGUCGUAAAAGUUACUGGAUAAGGGACCGGGCUCCCGCCCUAGAGGAGAGAAGAGCAGGCAAGCAGGCGGGUGCGGAUGACCUGUUAGAAAGGAAGUACAGACAUAUCGGGUAUUUCCAUAAGUAUCUGAGCAUGCAAAUUAUAUGUAAAUAAGUCCUUUUGCGUUAGCCACCGAGUUACCGUAAUUGCUCUCAGUGGCUUUUCCCCCUCCCCUGUUCCACAUGACUCUCUUAGUAAAUCAGACCGUGGGAUACACGCAGGGGACCCAGCCGGGAGAGGAGAAAGAGAAAGGGCGGGCGGGGAAGAUAGUCACCCUCAACACCCUUUUCCAAUUCAUCUUUAAGGAAGCUUCCAAGGUUACGCCCCUUGUCGCUUCGGAAAUGGCGCGGUCCAACCGCGUCAAUCUUUUCGCCGUUACCGGCGCGACUCGAGGCCGCGAUUCUGCCUCCGAGGUCACCACCUGCCUGGGUCCUUUGGCCUCCAGCCUCCGGACGUUGAUCUCUCCAGGGAGGGGCUGGACGGGCCUAAAUUGGGAGAGACUACCACUUCAGCAGUGCUGGACCAAAUCACUCGGCCCGGAAUCCACCUUUUCCAGGUCACAGAGAGAUGAACUAAGAUGCUCAAGGUCAAACUGGCAGCAAGUUGCAAAGCCAAUUAUCUUCUGACGGGGAAGACAACACUGCUUGUCCCACAGAAACCUUUCACUUAGGCAUACCCUCUUCCUCCUCCUCCCCGCUGCACCAACUCCAUCUCUCUACUGCCCUCUUCCCGAAAACACUCACCAGGAUCCCCUCGACUUUGUUCUGCACGGCCUUGCUGUGGAGGAGAGGAGAAAGCUGGAGGUCACACACAAGAUUUUCCCUGGUGUCUAACUGUUAGGGAGAGGAAGAGGGCUGAGAGGCCUGACAGGUGCUCAGCAACGGCUACCAUGAUGGAGAAUCUCCCAGUGCUCACAGGCACUUGCUCAGGGAGAGCCAGUUCAUCUACAGAGGAAGUGAAGUGCUACGGUUCUGGAGCAAGACUUGGAGGUGGUGAGGAGUACUUACGAAAUGGUACCUCGGAGCCUCUGAAGAAGGGUGGUGGGUUCUCCCGCCUCAGCACUACCUGAGGGGGGCCGUCCCCCAGUCUUGGGGCUCUUAGCGUCGGGUUCAUCUUCUGCCAUCCCGGCAUGAGGGCUAGAGUUGAGAGGAGACACGACAGGAAGAUUCAACCUCCCUUCCCCUGGAGCCACCCCGCCGCUCCCCAGGCGCUCCUCGUCUCCCUACCCAGAAACACAGAGAAACAGAAAGCCUCUGAAUGUCCUCAGUGGUCUUUUUUUCUCACCACUUGCCUUCUCCCCAAAUUAGAAAUGAUCCCAUUACUUCUCCAGGCCCAUAUAUACCCAAAGAGAUCUCUGCCACCCCCAUUCUAUCUGCCCCCCCCCCCCCCCCCGCUUCCUGCAGUCUCCUGAGUGUGGAAAACUGUACAGGAAGAGAUAGGCGGGUUGGGAAUCCACGUUAGAAAUGUCCAUUUCUGCCUCUGGCCCCGUCCCGCCCUCACCCCCUUAAAAAACCAAAAACAAGAACCACCACAAAACAAAGUUCUCCGAUUCUCCUCACGCCUGAAUUUUCCUGGGAGGUCAGAAAGGAUACGAACAUACUCUGCCCUUGCAGGCUUGGAAAAAACUGGGCCCAAGUUCUCAUUACUUAAUCUCGCCACGGCUUCCCCCGCGGCUCCCCCUCCCCACGUCGCCGGUCCCUACGUCAUCUCCCUCAACCUCCCAUCCUGAGGCGCACCCCCACCUCCCUCCCUUCCCCCUGCAUUCAAUCCCGCGUUGCUGCAAGGUGGGAGGCUUCAGAGGGGCGAACUCCUGGGCUGGGCGUAGGAAACCCGGUUGGGGGAACGGGGUCCCGGAUUCGGGGCACGUGCACAUGGGCGAAGGAGCUGUUGAAAAUACGGCCACAAUCUUUUUCUGCUCUCCUCCCAACUCAUACUGUCCCCUCCCUACCUUUGAACAGUCGCCUUCCAACACAAGCAACAAUAAAGAUCGCGAGUCAAAUGAAAGCAGUGGACCCUCUGCUAUGAAAAAUGCACGUGAGGACUAAGUUUUGCAUCUAAUUUCAAAGGUGCCCAUGAAGGUCAAAUAAGCCAAUGUAUUCAGAAGUACUUUAAAGGAGAAGUGUUGUAUAAAUAUGGGAAGGACUGUGCCAGAAGCUGGGGACAGAAAUCCCAGGCAGUGGAACCUGCUGACUCGGCGUCUACAGAAGCCACUUUCAUCUUGGAUGAAAGCUAUGGGGUGAAGUUUUUAUUGGAUAGUGAAAGGGACGAAGUUUGGUCUCGAGACUGCCGGCGGAAAGAUCCAUGGUGUUUCCAAACUGGAGUGAAAGGAAGAACAAAGCUGGGCUGCAGUAUGACAGAUGAUGGGCAUCUGUCCUCCUGGUUCCCGUGGGUAAGGGAGCACCCAGAGGGAGAUGCUCUGUGGCUGCCCUUACCCCCUUCUCCUCAAUAUCACUCAACUCCCCUGACUCUUUCCUACAUCUGGGUCCUCACCAUCACGCCAUCAGCCAGGCAUGUGCCGCAGUCAGCCCUGUGGGUGCAGCUGUACCCCAGGGGGUGGCCCAGGGGGCUGCUUCUUCGCCUGGGCUGGCCUCCCCAUCUGCUGGCUGUCUCUCCUCACCCUGCCUCCAGCCUGCGCCUCUGGCCUCCUCCUCCUCCUCCUCGGACCCCAUCUCAUACCUCCUCUACUUUCCUGCUUUGGGGCUUGAAGUAGCCUUACAGCCAAGAUCUGAAAGAGAAAGAAAGCCCAUCCUCACCCCCUUGUCAAAAGUUCUGGGGCACCUGGGGGGCUCAGUCGGUUAACCGUCUGACUUCGGCUCAGGUCACGAUCUUGUGGUUCGUGGGAUUGAGCCCCGCGUCGGGCCCUCU